This is a ribosomal RNA of Scophthalmus maximus (turbot), 119 nucleotides long. Lineage: Eukaryota; Metazoa; Chordata; Actinopteri; Pleuronectiformes; Scophthalmidae. The record is from Ensembl.
GCUUACGGCCAUACCAGCCUGAAUACGCCCGAUCUCGUCUGAUCUCGGAAGCUAAGCAGGGUCGGGCCUGGUUAGUACUUGGAUGGGAGACCGCCUGGGAAUACCAGGUGCUGUAAGAA